This 734-nucleotide ribosomal RNA is filed under the name uncultured bacterium. RNAcentral's name for it is "partial 16S ribosomal RNA". The stretch from base 419 to 734 matches the Rfam family "Bacterial small subunit ribosomal RNA", at positions 1 to 417 of the family's 1533-position model. The record is from RNAcentral.
CCACUUCCCCUACCCCGUUCGGUUGGCCGUUUCCGUUCCGGUCCCCCUACCCCGAACCCGUACGGUCCCGGGCCCGGCCGGUACCCCGUAACCCGGUCGGCCGUACGGAACGGAAACGGAACCGACGUCGGGGCCCGGGUCGGUCCGGUACCUUAAACUAACUAGUCGAACGUAAGGUAAACGGAAACCGUCCGUAGGAAAGGAAGGGAAGGGAACGUUCCGUUCGUCCGUUCCUUUUUCCGGUUUAGGGUACGUACGGUUAAGGGUUUCGAACCGGGGUAACCGGGGGUAGGUAAACGGUAAACCGUACGGGUUAAACCGGUUUAACCGUCCCGUUCCGUUUAGUUACGGGGGACGGGGGUAAACUUAAACUUUGGUUAAACGGGAAAACGUAAGUACGAACUUAAACCGUACCCGCUAAACUAAAACUAAGGUAGGUAGUUACGAACCAACUAGUUCGUACUUAAUUUUUAUUUAAGGGGAAACGGGACUUAAGUUUCCGUACCUACUAACGAAUAGGUCCGGUACCUCGGUUCGGUUAGUUAAGUUCACGUUAGGUAGGUGGAAGUUAGCGUCCACCCUAGGCGACCGAGUACUAUAGCCGACCUGAGAAGGGUGAGUCGCCCACACUGGGACUGAGACACGGCCCAGACUCCUACGGGAGGCAGCAGUAGGGAAUCUUCGGCAAUGGGGGCAACCCUGACCGAGCAACGCCGCGUGAGUGAAGAAGGUUU